AUUGAACGCUGGCGGCAUGCCUAACACAUGCAAGUCGAGCGAGCGGCGGACGGGUGAGUAAUGUAUGGGGACUGCCCGAUAGAGGGGGAUAACUACUGGAAACGGUGGCUAAUACCGCAUACUAUCGGAUAACCCAUAUGGGAUUAGCUAGUAGGUGGGGUAAAGGCUCACCUAGGCGACGAUCUCUAGCUGGUCUGAGAGGAUGACCAGCCACACUGGGACUGAGACACGGCCCAGACUCCUACGGAGGCAGUAGUGGGGAAUAUUGCACAAUGGGCGAAAGCCUGAUGCAGCCAUGCCGCGUGUAUGAAGAAGGCCUUAGGGUUGUAAAGUACUUUCCGCGGGGAAGCGUUACCCGCAGAAGAAGCACCGGCUAACUCCGUGCCAGCAGCCGCGGUAAUUC
Molecule: ribosomal RNA, 403 nt
Filed under: uncultured bacterium
Lineage: Bacteria
Description: partial 16S ribosomal RNA
Rfam family: Bacterial small subunit ribosomal RNA
Source: RNAcentral